CUCGGAACACCUAGAAUUACAAGUGACUAGGAGAGCUUAACUGAGCUCACAACCUCGUUCUCUUCUGUGAUCUAUAAAUAUAGAACUCUACUCACCAACUAUGUUCUCUUUUAUGUCGGCAUACCCCCAGCCCCUCAGGAUCUACGCUCAGAGGAAAAGAGAACUGGAGGCCAACUCAGCAGCCAGCCACUCAGACACUGUGAAGAUCUGCAACUGUCCAUCCUUGACUGUUUAACCCCCCAUCUCUACUUAAAACCACACAGCCACAUAUUGUCACAGUAAAACGCUUACUGAAAGGAAUUAAAAAUGCUAACAGAAGUCCGUAACAAUAAAGAGAAAAGAAGGAAAAGGGAGAGCAAAUCCCAGCCACCUCAGAGUUCCAGCACUCAAGAAAAGGGCCCUGAGUUGCAUACGAGAAAGCAGGGUAAUAGAUGUGCUGUGCCCUCAGGGUGCCUCCCACCCACAGACUUCAGAGGAUGCCUCCAACACUGAGCCACAGACAACAUGAAUGAAGCACAACCAUGUUCAAGCAGAUCACAGGUCCAUCUACAUGGGUUUUAGAAAAAUAUUUGAGGAAGAAACCAUAGUGACUCUGGAUGACAUGAAAAGUAAGCGAAGCCUGUGACCCAUGGGUCAAGUCAGUUGCCUGCUUCUGUAAAUAAAAUUUUGUUGAACACAGCCA
RNAcentral lists this long non-coding RNA (682 nucleotides) under Felis catus (domestic cat). Its description in RNAcentral is "lncRNA (ENSFCAG00000040921.2)". The record is from RNAcentral. Lineage: Eukaryota; Metazoa; Chordata; Mammalia; Carnivora; Felidae.